CACCAUAGACAGAUUUCAGCUUUGAAACGAGAUGGGAAAGAUUGGUUGCACCAUAGAUGGCAACCUAGAUGACUCGAAAUACAGCGAGCCGAUGCCAUGGAUCGGUAUCUAUGUUGCAGCAGCAUCUGCAGCUUGUGCACUGGCCAUGGCGAUUGAUGUCCUUCAUGGCCUGCGCCGUAGAAAAUUAUGGUUUCCUUGCAACUUCUUCUCUUGAAAGAGAGUCAAAGAAACAAAUAGAUAUGGCUGCAGCUAAAUACCCAGAGUAGAAACACCCCCCUCAAGAAAUCCUCAAAUACUCCACAUACACAAAGAUUUCACCUUUUAAACGAGAUGGGAAAGAUUGGUUGCACCAUAGAUGGCAACCUGGAUGACUCAAAAUUCAGCGAGCCGAUGCCAUGGAUCGGUAUCUAUGUUGCAGCAGCAUCUGCAGCUUGUGCACUGGCCAUGGCGAUUGAUGUCCUUCAUGGCCUGCGCCGUAGAAAAUUAUGGUUUCCUUGCAACUUCUUCUCUCUUAACGCUACGACCUUGACGCUCCUAGCUGUUGCCACCAAGUUGUCUGUUGAUCUAAAUACAUCCAUGCCUCGCCGACAAG
RNAcentral lists this long non-coding RNA (592 nucleotides) under Solanum tuberosum (potato). RNAcentral's name for it is "long non-coding RNA (STUB_LNC008563)". The record is from RNAcentral. Lineage: Eukaryota; Viridiplantae; Streptophyta; Magnoliopsida; Solanales; Solanaceae.